This 848-nucleotide ribosomal RNA is filed under the name uncultured bacterium. RNAcentral's name for it is "bacterial SSU rRNA". It matches the Rfam family "Bacterial small subunit ribosomal RNA", at positions 29 to 865 of the family's 1533-position model. The record is from RNAcentral.
UUGAACGCUGGCGGCACGCUUAACACAUGCAAGUCGAACGGCAGCACGGGGAGUUUACUCCUGGGUGGCGAGUGGCGAACGGGUGAGUAACGCGUAGGGAUCUGCCUGUUAGAGGGGGAUAAGCCGGGGAAACUCGGACUAAUACCGCAUACGCUCUGAGGAGGAAAGGACGGGACUGGGAAACCAGCCGUGCGCUAACAGAUGAACCUGCGUUAGAUUAGCUAGUUGGUAGGGUAAAGGCCUACCAAGGCGACGAUCUAUAGCUGGUCUGAGAGGAUGACCAGCCACACUGGAACUGAGAUACGGACCAGACUCCUACGGGAGGCAGCAGUGGGGAAUAUUGGACAAUGGGGGCAACCCUGAUCCAGCGAUGCCGCGUGUGUGAAGAAGGCCUGAGGGUUGUAAAGCACUUUAGUUGGGGAGGAAAGGCUCUUGCCGAAUAGGUAAGAGAGAAGACGUUACCCAAAGAAUAAGCACCGGCUAACUCUGUGCCAGCAGCCGCGGUAAUACAGAGGGUGCAAGCGUUAAUCGGAAUGACUGGGCGUAAAGGGCACGUAGGCGGAUAGAUGUGUCAUAGGUGAAAUCCCCGGGCUCAACCUGGGAACUGCCUGUGAAACUGUGUAUCUAGAAUAUAGGAGAGGGAAGUGGAAUUUCCGGUGUAGCGGUGAAAUGCGUAGAUAUCGGAAAGAACACCAGUGGCGAAGGCGACUUCCUGGUCUAAUAUUGACGCUGAGGUGCGAAAGCGUGGGGAGCAAACGGGAUUAGAUACCCCGGUAGUCCACGCUGUAAACGAUGAGAACUAGAUGCUUGUUGACUAAGGUUAAUGAGUAUGAAGCAAACGCGUAAGU